UCCGAAGGGGGCUAGCGUUGCUCGGAAUUACUGGGCGUAAAGGGCUCGUAGGCGGCCAACUAAGUCGGAUGUGAAAUCCCCAGGCUCAACUUGGGAACUGCAUCCGAUACUGGAUGGCUUGAAUUCGGGAGAGGGAUGCAGAAUUCCAGGUGUAGCGGUGAAAUGCGUAGAUAUCUGGAGGAACACCGGUGGCGAAGGCGGCAUCCUGGACCGACACUGACGCUGAUGAGCGAAAGCCAGGGGAGCAAACGGG
Molecule: ribosomal RNA, 253 nt
Filed under: uncultured bacterium
Lineage: Bacteria
Description: partial 16S ribosomal RNA
Rfam family: Bacterial small subunit ribosomal RNA
Source: RNAcentral